GAUGAAGAACGUAGUGAAAUGCGAUACUUGGUGUGAAUUGCAGAAUCCCGUGAACCAUCGAGUCUUUGAACGCAAGUUGCGCCCGAAGCCUCGGCUAAGGGCACGUCUGCCUGGGCGUCACGCAUCGCGUCUCCCCCAAACCGCCAAGGCGGAGGGGAAGGAAGAUGGCUUCCCGUGCCUCACCCGGCGCGGUUGGCCUAAAUUUGGAGCCCGCGGCACUUAGCUCUCGUGGCGAUAGGUGGUGAACAAGGCCUUGGCCGUGCAAACAACCCGCUGCGAAUCUCUAUCUCACGUGCGCUCGUCGGACCCUUUGAAGUUGCCUUCGGUGACUUAAAACCUUUGCGACCCCAGGUCAGGCGGGGCUACCCGCUGAAUUUAAGCAUAUCAAUAAGCGGAGGA
This 399-nucleotide unclassified non-coding RNA is filed under the name soil metagenome. RNAcentral's name for it is "partial contains 5.8S ribosomal RNA, internal transcribed spacer 2, and large subunit ribosomal RNA". The stretch from base 1 to 120 matches the Rfam family "5.8S ribosomal RNA", at positions 35 to 154 of the family's 154-position model. The record is from RNAcentral.